CGGACGGGUGAGUAACGCGUGAGAACAUGCCUUUAGAUUGGGGACAACAGUUGGAAACGACUGCUAAUACCGAAUGUGCCUUAGGGUGAAAGAUUUAUUGUCUAGAGAUUGGCUCGCGUCAGAUUAGCUAGUUGGAGUGGUAACGGCACACCAAGGCGACGAUCUGUACUUGGUCUGAGAGGAUGACCAGGCACACUGGAACUGAGACACGGUCCAGACUCCUACGGGAGGCAGCAGUGGGGAAUUUUCCGCAAUGGGCGAAAGCCUGACGGAGCAAUACCGCGUGAGGGAGGACGGCUUUUGGGUUGUAAACCUCUUUUAUCAGGGAAGAAUCGAUGACGGUACCUGAUGAAUCAGCAUCGGCUAACUCCGUGCCAGCAGCCGCGGUAAUACGGAGGAUGCAAGCGUUAUCCGGAAUUAUUGGGCGUAAAGCGUCC
Molecule: ribosomal RNA, 437 nt
Filed under: uncultured Leptolyngbya sp.
Lineage: Bacteria; Bacillati; Cyanobacteriota; Cyanophyceae; Leptolyngbyales; Leptolyngbyaceae
Description: bacterial SSU rRNA
Rfam family: Bacterial small subunit ribosomal RNA
Source: RNAcentral